Long non-coding RNA from Oncorhynchus tshawytscha (Chinook salmon), 2956 nucleotides. NCBI's taxonomy places the organism in Eukaryota, Metazoa, Chordata, Actinopteri, Salmoniformes, Salmonidae. The record is from Ensembl.
UAACAUCACCGUCUGUCUGUCUGUCUGUCUGUCUGUCUGUCAAAACCCCAUCAGUUCACUACGACUCAGAGUGGACAUGAUCAAUAGAUAACAUCACCGUCUGUCUGUCUGUCAAGACCCCGUCUGUCAAGACCCCAUCAGUUCACUACAACUCAAAGUGGACAUGAUCAAUAGAUAACAUCACUGUCUGUCUGUCUGUCAGCGUUGGGCUCAAUUCAGACUUGAGUUAAGAAUACUUCUUGAAUUUGAAUUGAAGUAGUAAACAGAAUACAGAAUUGAAAUUUGAAUUUGAAUGAAAGGAAAUAGAAUUGAAUUCAGUGAAAUUCAAAUGCCUCUUGUAUUGUAUAUUAGGUGUAGUCUAUAACUAUAUAUGUUGAAACAGUAGAUUUUUAGGACAAACUAUCUUCCAAUUAAUUAAUGAUCUAGGACAACAAAUCCUGUAUGCAAAUAUUCUGUUUUCAUUAAUCACUUAUUAAUCACACAUAUAUAUAUAUAUAUACUGUAUACACAAAACAUUAGUUUCACCCCUUUUUUCCCUCAGAACAGCCUCAAUUUGUCGGGGCAGGGACUCUACAAGAUAUCAAAUGUGUUCAUCAGGGAUGCUGGCCCAUGUUGUCACAGGGAUGCUGGCCCAUGUUGUCACAGGGAUGCUGGCCCAUGUUGUCACAGGGAUACUGGCCCAUGUUGACUCCAAUGCUUCCCACAGUUGUGUCAAGUUGGCUUGAUGUCCUUUGGGUGAUGGAUCAUUAUUGAUACACACAGAGAAACUGUUGAAUGUGAAAAACCCAGCAGCGUUGCCGUUCUUAACACAAACCAGUACACCUGGCACCUACCACCAUACACAGUUCAGACACUUAAACAUUUAGUCUUGUCCAUUCACCCUCUGAAUGACACACACAAUCCAUGUCUCAAUUGCCAUUCUUUAACCCGUCUCCUCCCCUUCAUCUACACUGAUUGAAGUGGAUUUAACAGGUGACAUCAAUAAGGGAUCAUAUCUUUCACCUGGAUUCACCUGGUCAGUCUGUGUUUAGGAAAGAGCAGGCGUUCCUAAUGUUUUGUGCACUCCGUGUAUAUUGUAAAUGCUAACUGACAGAGUAAUUGUCCCAUAAGUUUUAAAUGAGGUGUUAACAUUUGGUAUUGUUUGUAAACAUUUAAAUAAAAGCUAUUUAGUUCAGUUUUUAAGUUGUAAUGGGGAGGAUCAGUAGUUCAGAGGGCAGGGUGAUCAGUAGUUCAGAGGGCAGGGUGAUCAGUAGUUCAGAGGGCAGGGUGAUCAGUAGUUCAGAGGGCAGGGUGAUCAGUAGCCAGGGUGAUCAUAGCCCAGGGUGAUCAGUGGCCAGGGUGAUCAGUAGUUCAGAGGGCAGGGUGAUCAGUAGUUCAGAGGGCAGGGUGAUCAGUAGUUCAGAGGGCAGGGUGAUCAGUAGUUCAGAGGGCAGGGUGAUCAGUAGUUCAGGGGGCAGGGUGAUCAAUAGUUCUGUGGCCUGGGUGAUCAGUAGUUCAGAGGUCAGGGUGACCAGUGGCCAGGGUGAUCAGUAGUUCAGAGAGCAGGGUGAUCAAUAGUUCAGAGAGCAGGGUGAUCAAUAGUUCUGUGGCCAGGGUGAUCAGUAGUUCUGUGGCCAGGGUGAUCAGUAGUUCAGAGGUCAGGGUGAUCAGUGGUCAGGGUGAUCAGUAGUUAGAGGUCAGGGUGAUCAGUAGUUCAGAGGGCAGGGUGAUCAGUAGUUCUGUGGCCAGGGUGAUCAAUAGUUCUGUGGCCAGGGUGAUCAGUAGUUAGAGGUCAGGGUGAUCGGUAGUUCUGAGGUCGGGGUGAUCGGUGGUUCUGUGGUCAGGAUGAUAGGUAGUUCUGAGGUCAGGGUGAUCGGUAGUUCUGUGGUCAGGAUGAUAGGUAGUUCUGAGGUCAAGUCUGGCCAGGGUGAUCAGUAGUUCUGUGGUCAGGAUGAUCAGUAGUUCUGUGGUCAGGGUGAUCAAUAGUUAUGUGGCCAGUGUGAUCAGUAGUUCAGAGGUCAGGGUGAUCAGUAGUUCAGAGGGCAGGGUGAUCAGUAGUUCUGUGGCCAGGGUGAUCAAUAGUUCUGUGGCCAGGGUGAUCAGUAGUUAGAGGUCAGGGUGAUCGGUAGUUCAGAGGUCAGGGUGAUCGGUAGUUCUGAGGUCGGGGUGAUCGGUAGUUCCGGGGGUCGGGUGAUCGGUAAUUCCGGGUCAGGAUGAUCGGUAGUUCUGUGGUCAGGGUGAUCAAUAGUUCUAUGGUCAGGGUGAUCGGUAUUUCAGGGGCCAGGGUGAUCGGUAGUUCAGAGGUCAGGAUGGUCGGUAGGUCUGUGGUCAGGAUGGUAGGUAGUUCUGAGGUCAGGGUGAUCAAUAGUUCGGAGGCCAGGGUGAUCGGUAGUUCGGCGGCCGGGAUGAUCAGUCGUUCUGAGGUCAGGGUGAUCAGUAGUUCUGAGGUCAGGGUGAUCAGUAGUUCAGAGGUCAGGAUGAUCGGUAGUUUGGCGGUCAGGGUGAUCAGUAGUUCUGAGGUCAGGGUGAUCGGUAGUUCUGAGGUCAGGGUGAUCGGUAGUUCUGAGGUCAGGGUGAUCGGUAGUUCUGAGGUCAGGAUGGUCGGUAGUUCUGUGGUCAGGAUGGUAGGUAGUUCUGAGGUCAAGUCUGGCCAGGGUGAUCAAUAGUUAUGUGGCCAGGGUGAUCAGUAGUUAUGUGGCCAGGGUGAUCAGUAGUUAUGUGGCCAGGGUGAUCGGUAGUUAUGUGGCCAGGGUGAUUGGUAGUUCAGAGGUCAGGGUGAUUGGUAGUUCAGAGGUCAGGGUGAUUGGUAGUUCAGAGGUCAGGGUGAUUGGUAGUUCAGAGGUCAGGGUGAUUGGUAGUUCAGAGGUCAGGGUGAUUGGUAGUUCAGAGGUCAGGGUGAUUGGUAGUUCAGAGGUCAGGGUGAUUGGUAGUUCAGAGGUCAGGGUGAUUGGUAGUUCAGAGGUCAGGGUGAUUGGUA